This is a long non-coding RNA of Ruditapes philippinarum (Manila clam), 371 nucleotides long. RefSeq lists it as uncharacterized. The transcript has 2 exons. NCBI's taxonomy places the organism in Eukaryota, Metazoa, Mollusca, Bivalvia, Venerida, Veneridae. The record is from RefSeq and is a predicted model, not a curated record.
UCAAUACUUCACUUGUGAUAGUGCUUGACAAGGAUAGCAUUAAUGCAUUUUGAAACAUGUAUUUUCUUCAAUUGUUAGCGUUUAUCAUUUUGUUUAUCAUGUACAACUCACAUAGUCUCCCAGAAGGAUUCUGUAGCAGGUCCGAAAGUACACAGAGUAAGUAGAAUACAUUAUGUUAACAGUUUGUCUAAUCUAGAAAGUAAAACGUUUAUGUUUCAAACGUUUAUUACAAUACAUUAAGAUUAAUUUUAACAUCAUUGUCUUAUUUAAAGAUAAUCAGGAUGCUGAUACACAUACAUUAAAUGGCAUUUAAACGGAUGAUGUGACUAUUAUUCAUUAGUGAAGAUGGUACUGAAUCAGUUUAACACAAA